Molecule: transfer RNA, 91 nt
Filed under: Bifidobacteriaceae bacterium
Lineage: Bacteria; Bacillati; Actinomycetota; Actinomycetes; Bifidobacteriales; Bifidobacteriaceae
Description: tRNA-Ser
Rfam family: tRNA
About the family: Transfer RNA (tRNA) molecules are approximately 80 nucleotides in length. Their secondary structure includes four short double-helical elements and three loops (D, anti-codon, and T loops).
Source: RNAcentral
GGUGGCGUGUCCGAGUGGCCUAAGGAGCACGCCUCGAAAGCGUGUGUGGGGGCAAACUCCACCGCGGGUUCGAAUCCCGCCGCCACCGCCA